AUUCUUUUAGUAUAAAAAAUAUAUUUGACUUCCAAUCAAAAGAUCUUAAUCAAAGAAAGAAUA
This 63-nucleotide transfer RNA is filed under the name Catacanthus incarnatus. Its description in RNAcentral is "tRNA-Gly". The record is from RNAcentral. Lineage: Eukaryota; Metazoa; Arthropoda; Insecta; Hemiptera; Pentatomidae.